Molecule: ribosomal RNA, 492 nt
Filed under: uncultured bacterium
Lineage: Bacteria
Description: partial 16S ribosomal RNA
Rfam family: Bacterial small subunit ribosomal RNA
Source: RNAcentral
AGUGAACGCUGGCGGUAGGCCUAACACAUGCAAGUCGAACGGCAGCACAGUAAGAGCUUGCUCUUACGGGUGGCGAGUGGCGGACGGGUGAGGAAUACAUCGGAAUCUACUUUUUCGUGGGGGAUAACGUAGGGAAACUUACGCUAAUACCGCAUCCGACCUACGGGUGAAAGCAGGGGAUCUUCGGACCUUGCGCGAUUGAAUGAGCCGAUGUCGGAUUAGCUAGUUGGCGGGGUAAAGGCCCACCAAGGCGGCGAUCCGUAGCUGGUCUGAGAGGAUGGUCAGCCACACUGGAACUGAGACACGGUCCAGACUCCUACGGGAGGCAGCAGUGGGGAAUAUUGGACAAUGGGCGCAAGCCUGAUCCAGCCAUACCGCGUGGGUGAAGAAGGCCUUCGGGUUGUAAAGCCCUUUUGUUGGGAAAGAAAAGCAGCAGGUUAAUACCCCGCUGUUCUGACGGUACCCAAAGAAUAAGCACCGGCUAACUUCGUG